ACGAACGUGUUUCUUUCUGCGCGCUCGCUUGUCCGUGGCGGGUGUCGGCGGAGUGAGCGCCAUGACACGCUGGGCCUGUGCGGCGGCGGCGCUCGCGCUGGCGCUGAAGCUGGAGCUAGCGCUCUCCGUGCAGGGGCGCGCGGACCGGUGACCGUUGACGGAGAUGAAUUGAAUAAGCAGAAUCGAAAAUGAGAAUCUGGAUGUGACGUGAGCUAUCCAAGCAGGGAGCGAGUGAUGAAAUAAACACAAAGACUGCGGAGUCAAAAUCUGGAAACAUGGCAUGAGGGUAAAAUUAUGCAGGGAGCGGCAUGAAUGUGAGCAGAUCUGUGGAUGCAUCAUCAAAUUAUAUUCAAAGGCGUUAAAUAAUUGAAAAUAUUUUUGUCUGUUCACUUGUUGAUGUCAUCCUUGACAAACUAACUUGUACAACUGAUAUCUUAGUUUUUUGUACAUGCCAGUU
This is a long non-coding RNA of Amblyraja radiata (thorny skate), 457 nucleotides long. RefSeq lists it as uncharacterized. Lineage: Eukaryota; Metazoa; Chordata; Chondrichthyes; Rajiformes; Rajidae. The transcript is spliced from 4 exons. The record is from RefSeq and is a predicted model, not a curated record.